This 310-nucleotide long non-coding RNA is filed under the name Monodelphis domestica (gray short-tailed opossum). RNAcentral describes it as "lncRNA (ENSMODG00000043736.1)". Lineage: Eukaryota; Metazoa; Chordata; Mammalia; Didelphimorphia; Didelphidae. The record is from RNAcentral.
UCAGGACAAGUGACAUUCUUUCAGUCCUCCAGGCAACUCUAAGAUUAAGGUACUUUCCUGAAACUAUGGUCUAUCCUCAGUUGAAUUUGGGAAGACAGGAGAAGAAGAGACCUGGGGUUCGAAUACAAAGCAUUAAAAUGAAUAUGAUGUAAGUGAAAUUAGCACCAAUGGACAAAAUCAGAAAAGAUUGUUUUUUAAAAAUGAAGAUUUAUAAUCUACCAGGAAAACUUGUGUGUCAAUUAGCUUAGGUAAGUUUCAGCAGCCAGGCAUGACAAAUGUCCAACUAAAAUAAAACACUGGCUGGGUAUCA